UACGGAGGGGGCUAGCGUUGUUCGGAAUUACUGGGCGUAAAGCGCACGUAGGCGGCUUUGUAAGUUAGAGGUGAAAGCCCGGGGCUCAACUCCGGAAUUGCCUUUAAGACUGCAUCGCUAGAAUUGUGGAGAGGUAAGUGGAAUUCCGAGUUUAGAGGUGAAAUUCGUAGAUAUUCGGAAGAACACCAGUGGCGAAGGCGACUUACUGGACACAUAUUGACGCUGAGGUGCGAAAGCGUGGGGAGCAAACAGG
RNAcentral lists this ribosomal RNA (253 nucleotides) under uncultured bacterium. RNAcentral describes it as "partial 16S ribosomal RNA". It matches the Rfam family "Bacterial small subunit ribosomal RNA", at positions 524 to 776 of the family's 1533-position model. The record is from RNAcentral.